RNAcentral lists this ribosomal RNA (468 nucleotides) under uncultured bacterium. Its description in RNAcentral is "partial 16S ribosomal RNA". It matches the Rfam family "Bacterial small subunit ribosomal RNA", at positions 28 to 507 of the family's 1533-position model. The record is from RNAcentral.
GACGAACGCUGGCGGCGUGCUUAACACAUGCAAGUCGAACGGAAAGGCCCUGCUUUUGUGGGGUGCUCGAGUGGCGAACGGGUGAGUAACACGUGAGUAACCUGCCCUUGACUUUGGGAUAACUUCAGGAAACUGGGGCUAAUACCGGAUAGGAGCUCCUGCUGCAUGGUGGGGGUUGGAAAGUUUCGGCGGUUGGGGAUGGACUCGCGGCUUAUCAGCUUGUUGGUGGGGUAGUGGCUUUCCAAGGCUUUGACGGGUAGCCGGCCUGAGGGGGUGACCGGAGACAUUGGGACUGAGAUACGGACCAGAAGCCUACGGGAGGCAGCAGUGGGGAAUAUUGCACAAUGGGCGGAAGCCUGAUGCAGCAACGCCGCGUGCGGGAUGACGGCCUUCGGGUUGUAAACCGCUUUCGCAUGUGACGAAGCGUGAGUGACGGUAAUGGGUAAAGAAGCACCGGCUAACUACGUG